RNAcentral lists this ribosomal RNA (252 nucleotides) under uncultured bacterium. RNAcentral describes it as "partial 16S ribosomal RNA". It matches the Rfam family "Bacterial small subunit ribosomal RNA", at positions 524 to 776 of the family's 1533-position model. The record is from RNAcentral.
UACGUAGGGGGCAAGCGUUAUCCGGAAUUACUGGGCGUAAAGGGUGCGCAGGCGGCUUUACAAGUCAGGGGUCAAAGGCUAUGGCUCAACCAUAGUAAGCCCUUGAAACUGUGAAGCUUGAGUGCAGGAGAGGAAAGCGGAAUUCCCUGUGUAGCGGUGAAAUGCGUAGAUAUAGGGAGGAACACCAGUGGCGAAGGCGGCUUUUUGGACUGCAACUGACGCUGAGGCACGAAAGCAUGGGGAGCAAACAGG